Molecule: long non-coding RNA, 471 nt
Filed under: Nicotiana benthamiana
Lineage: Eukaryota; Viridiplantae; Streptophyta; Magnoliopsida; Solanales; Solanaceae
Description: long non-coding RNA (NBEN_LNC035752)
Source: RNAcentral
UGGCAUUAUUUGUUGGUCUGAGUUUAUAGACAGGCAAUUGCUUAUGACCCAUUGAACAGUUAAAGGCUGAUAGGUAACUCUCAUUGACUGUAAACUCAAUACUACCUGGGGUACAUAGAUCUAAAGCACGUAAUCUAAUGAAGUUGAGAAGGUUUGAAGGCUCAAAUUGAGAUGCCGAAAAAACACUAUGUUUUUCUUUUGAAAGAUUUUGAGCAGCAACUUGACUUUCUUUUGAAAAACAAGAACAGGUCAUCUUCUGUUUUACACGCCUACCAAUCUCACCUAAAGCCUUGGGCUACAUAGAUCUAAAGCACGUAAUCUAAUGAAGUUGAGAAGGUUUGCAGGCUCAAAUUGAGAUGCCGAAAAAACACUAUGUUUUUCUUUUGAAAGAUUUUGAGCAGCAACUUGACUUUCUUUUGAAAAACAAGAACAGGUCAUCUUCUGUUUUACACGCCUACCAAUCUCACCUAA